RNAcentral lists this ribosomal RNA (909 nucleotides) under Phaeosphaeria norfolcia. RNAcentral describes it as "LSU rRNA". It matches the Rfam family "Eukaryotic large subunit ribosomal RNA", at positions 38 to 966 of the family's 3401-position model. The record is from RNAcentral. Lineage: Eukaryota; Fungi; Ascomycota; Dothideomycetes; Pleosporales; Phaeosphaeriaceae.
GCAUAUCCAUAACCGGAGGAAAAGAAACCAACAGGGAUUGCCCUAGUAACGGCGAGUGAAGCGGCAAUAGCUCAAAUUUGAAAUCUGGCUCUUUCAGGGUCCGAGUUGUAAUUUGCAGAGGGCGCUUUGGCGUUGGCAGCGGUCCAAGUUCUUUGGAACAGGACGUCACAGAGGGUGAGAAUCCCGUACGUGGUCGCUAUCCUUCGCCGUGUAAAGCCCCUUCGACGAGUCGAGUUGUUUGGGAAUGCAGCUCUAAAUGGGAGGUAAAUUUCUUCUAAAGCUAAAUACUGGCCAGAGACCGAUAGCGCACAAGUAGAGUGAUCGAAAGAUGAAAAGCACUUUGGAAAGAGAGUCAAAUAGCACGUGAAAUUGUUGAAAGGGAAGCGCUUGCAGCCAGACUUGCCUGUAGUUGCUUAUCUGGACUUUUGUCCGGUGCACUCUUCUGCGGGCAGGCCAGCAUCAGUUUGGGCAGUUGGAUAAAGGUCUCUGUCAUGUACCUCUCUUCGGGGAGGCCUUAUAGGGGAGACGACAUGCAACUAGCCUGGACUGAGGUCCGCGCAUCUGCUAGGAUGCUGGCGUAAUGGCUGUAAGCGGCCCGUCUUGAAACACGGACCAAGGAGUCUAACAUCUAUGCGAGUGUUUGGGUGUCAAGCCCAGACGCGUAAUGAAAGUGAACGGAGGUGGGAACCCUUUGGGUGCACCAUCGACCGAUCCUGAUGUCUUCGGAAGGAUUUGAGUAAGAGCAUGGCUGUUGGGACCCGAAAGAUGGUGAACUAUGCUUGAAUAGGGUGAAGCCAGAGGAAACUCUGGUGGAGGCUCGCAGCGGUUCUGACGUGCAAAUCGAUCGUCAAAUUUGGGCAUAGGGGCGAAAGACUAAUCGAACUAUCUAGUAGCUGGUUCCUGCCGAAU